AAACUUACCAGGUCAAGACAUGGGCGUGAUUGACAGGCUAAUGACUUUUCUCGAUUCCAUGGAUGGUGGUGCAUGGUCGCACUUAGUUGGUGCAGUGAUUUGUCAGGUUUAUUCCGGUAACGAACGAGACCUCGGCCUUGUAAAUAGCUAUGCUGCUUACAGGGACAUUGGCGGCUACGCCAAGGAAGCUCGAGGCAAUUGCAGAUCUGGAAUGCCCUUAGAUGUCCUGGGUCGCACGCGUGCUACAAUGACGCCACGAACGAGCUUGCGUGAUGAAAGUUACGCAUAAUCAGCAGUCGGCGUCUUAAGGGAUAGUCUCUUGUAACUGUGGGACUCCAACUAGGAAUGUCUCGUAAGCACAAGUCAACAUCUUGUGUUGAUUACGUCCCUGCUCUUUGUACACACCGCCCGUCGCUCCUACCGAUCGAGUGUUUAGGUGAAUUUGAUGGACGUAAGGAAGUCAAAUAAACCUGAGCACUAGAGAAGAGAAGUCGAUAUGU
RNAcentral lists this ribosomal RNA (500 nucleotides) under uncultured Myrionecta. RNAcentral's name for it is "bacterial SSU rRNA". It matches the Rfam family "Eukaryotic small subunit ribosomal RNA", at positions 1211 to 1797 of the family's 1831-position model. The record is from RNAcentral. Lineage: Eukaryota; Ciliophora; Litostomatea; Cyclotrichida; Mesodiniidae.